This 250-nucleotide ribosomal RNA is filed under the name uncultured bacterium. RNAcentral's name for it is "partial 16S ribosomal RNA". It matches the Rfam family "Bacterial small subunit ribosomal RNA", at positions 57 to 305 of the family's 1533-position model. The record is from RNAcentral.
GCAAGUCGAACGGUAACAGAACUAGCUUGCUAGUUGCUGACGAGUGGCGGACGGGUGAGUAAUGCUUAGGAAUUUGCCCAGUUGAGGGGGAUAACUAUUGGAAACGAUAGCUAAUACCGCAUACGCCCUACGGGGGAAAGGAGGGGACCUUCGGGCCUUCCGCGAUUGGAUAAGCCUAAGUGAGAUUAGCUAGUUGGUGGGGUAAUGGCUCACCAAGGCGACGAUCCCUAGCUGGUUUGAGAGGAUGAUC